RNAcentral lists this ribosomal RNA (417 nucleotides) under uncultured bacterium. RNAcentral's name for it is "partial 16S ribosomal RNA". It matches the Rfam family "Bacterial small subunit ribosomal RNA", at positions 355 to 762 of the family's 1533-position model. The record is from RNAcentral.
UGGGGAAUAUUGCACAAUGGGCGCAAGCCUGAUGCAGCCAUGCCGCGUGUGUGAAGAAGGCCUUCGGGAUUGUAAAGCACUUUCAGCGAGGAGGAAGGUGGUGAGCUUAAUACGCUCAUCAAUUGACGUUACUCGCAGAAGAAGCACCGGCUAACUCCGUGCCAAGCAGCCGCGGUAAUACGGAGGGUGCAAGCGUUAAUCGGAAUUACUGGGCGUAAAGCGCACGCAGGCGGUUUGUUAAGUCAGAUGUGAAAUCCCCGGGCUCAACCUGGGAACUGCAUUUGAAACUGGCAAGCUAGAGUCUCGUAGAGGGGGGUAGAAUUCCAGGUGUAGCGGUGAAAUGCGUAGAGAUCUGGAGGAAUACCGGUGGCGAAGGCGGCCCCCUGGACGAAGACUGACGCUCAGGUGCGAAAGCGU